Molecule: long non-coding RNA, 3135 nt
Organism: Pezoporus occidentalis (night parrot)
Lineage: Eukaryota; Metazoa; Chordata; Aves; Psittaciformes; Psittacidae
Exons: 3
Source: RefSeq, a predicted model, not a curated record
CAAUUAACUGAACCUGUGAAAGAAUGAGAAUUUAAUUUUUAUAUUUUCUGUGCAAAAUGCAGCUAUUGUCUCAGAUUCUCAUUUAUGCAGUAAGCUUUGCAGGUACAAAACUGAGGUACUUAACAAUUUGUAAAUGUUUUUGUAACUUUGGUCCUUUCUUUAUUUCAGAUUCAACGUGUUACAAACAAACAUAUUCCACCUGUUACAACAAUCUGGCAUAUUACUUUCUUGAUACGUGAUGAUACAAUACCUCUCAGGUUUGCUGAGUAGCAAAGAGAAAUGUGCUAUAACUAGCACAGAGUACAAGAAGAGUUAUACCUUUGUAUUCAUUCUUCUGCCAUGUUACUGAAAUAACAGAAAACUCGUGUGAUACCUUUGGACAGCAAUGCAGUGCUUUCUCACCCUGUCCUCUGUCAUAUCUACAAGAACAUGUGUCCUUUCAAGACCUAGGCAAAAUAUUCUCCUGCUUGCUUCAGAACAGAGACCUGAUUUGGAAAGCUAUCUUCCUUCCUGAUCAAAGAAUUGCAGGGCAGAACAGAGUACCACAGAAACAUUCACAUAGCUGAAAGGGCUGUCUUAUAAAGAAUGAUAACAGUUAGUUGCACAUUCAUUUUGCAUAGGUGUAAGUGUACCACAUAUAUGAAUAUUCUUGUUGACAAAUCUAUUUAUGUGUAUGUGUAUAUGUAUUCAGAAGCUCUGGUUUGCCUCCAGUCAUUGUAGGUGACUCUUCUCAUGUGCAUUAUAGUUACAAAAGUAUAAUUUUAAGCAGAGAUAAUACUGAAAAGAAUUGUUUGUUUAGCUAAAGGCAAGUAAUAGGUUAGGUAAGAAUCAUUAAACAGGCCAUAACAGCAAUUUAUAUUCACUAGAAAGGUGUAAAAAAUAGGGCAGGAGAUAAAUGUUAUUUAAUGUGAUAGAUAGGAGUGAUAUUAAGACUAGUUGAAUAAAAGUAGUGAAAGAAAGUUUAGGCUGUCUACCUGAAAAAAUCUGGGGAGCAAACUAGUUGCACUAAAUGACUGUAUAAUCUCUACGGGGAAGCAUUAACAAUCCAAUUGCUUGAGAUUUUUGAGAGGUCAAAGGAUCAGCAAAAUACGUGGUGGGGAAGAAGCUUGAAUUGGCAGGUAGAUGGAUCACCUGACCUAUUAGUUCUUUUCUAUUGCAAACUUCUAUGACUUUAUGUGGGGAAAAUUCCUUUUCAACCCACGCUGGCAAUCUGUUUAUGUUCUGAAGUAUGAUGAUUGACAUCCCUUUUAACUUUUAACCUAGAGAAUGUCUCUGCAAGUGUUAUUCCUACAUAUAAAUGUCUAAUGCUUUUAAUAAAAAAAAAAAAGUCUCUCAAUUAGGGGACUGUAUCCAUGUGCAAAUGCAGAAUGGAGAUCACAACAGAGUCUGAGGUGUUAUAGCGGCAUGGGCAGAACUCCCACUCAGGAAGGAUGGGAUGUUGAGAAGGAAAAGGGAGCAUUUGGGGCUUAAAGACUAGAGAGACAGUGGAGGCAAACAAGUGAAAAUUGGAUUAAAACAGUCAGAAAGAAAGGUAUCAUUUUUGUUGAAAGGGGGAAUAAGAAAAUAAGAGAAAUGUGGUGGUAAAAAAGUAUAAGAACAGAGAAGUGAGAUAGGAAGGGAGAACUAAUUUAUGGAGUAGAAGAACAAGAAGAACAAAUAACGAUGUGCUCCUGUUAAUAUGGUGACAGAGUACUUCCUAUCUGUAAGUGUUUACACUUGGUUCAUCCACAUGAAAGCUUUCUUUUUUUUUUUUUUCAAACAGUGUAAUACUUAGUAAGCAUCUCUGAAGUACAGUGUGUGUAUUUUUGUAACAAACAGUGUAUUUCACAACUAAACCCCAGCCUAUCCACCUUUCUUGUUAAAGCCCAUCAAGAGAUAAGAGCUUGUAUAAAACUAUAGCACCCUAGUAGAAAGAAAUGUCAUAUUCUGCCAGUCUUUACUUCAUUUUGCCCUGAAUUGAUGGACUGGUGAUGGGUGGGAAAACAUCACGAAAGAAAUUCUUAAGAAAUGCUAAACUAGCAAAACUUAAUAUAUUUAAAUAAUAUUACCAAAAACGUUCUUCAAAUUUUAUGGCAUUAAACUAAAGCCCAGACUAUAAAAAGACAAAAUUAUUACAGAGAUUUCCAGUUACUCAAAAAUAUCUUUGUGAUGUUACUUGUUCUGACUUAAAGAACUUUGUUGAAGCAUCAACUUCAUUUCUGUUGAGGGCUGUAAAAAAGAUUGAAGCCGGGGCCUGGAAUAUGAACAAACAAUGCUUCUAAGUUAGUGCCCCACAGAAUAUUUUAAAAUUAUUUAACACAAAUCAUCUCAGUGUCAACAACUCAUCACAGAUAAACUAUCUAAUUAACAGAAGCCAUCAUAGUAUUUGAGAACUCAGUCUUGGCUCAGUUGAUAUACCAGAAGGGCACUCCUUGAUAAGCAAAAAUUAUAAAGGAAGGUUUAAAAAACAUUACUGCCUGAAAGUAGCUUCGUCUUAGUUUUAAAUUAACCCUCUGCUAGGUUGGGGUUUUUAGUUUGUUUGGCAUUUCUUUUAAUCUCUAUGAGAUAACAAGCACAGGUUGACCUCAUAUUCUUAGGUAUAUUCCAUGCUAAGAUUCUGUGAAAUUGGCUAUUUUGUGAUGCAAUAUUUUUUUAGUGUCAUAGACUUGAAACCAUGCCAAAAUGACAGCUCAGUUAACAAAAGUGUCCCCAGCUUUCGUAACCACUUCUGAGACAGUUUUAUCCCACUUCCUUAAAAUUGUAAAGGUUGUCAAAAUCUUGAGGUUAUAAAACUUUACUGCAAAACAUUUUUAGGCAUCAAAACAUUGACUGGUUCUUACAGCACCAAACCUGCCACUGACUGGAAUCCAGGUGCUUCAUUUCCCUAUAUGAAGUCUGUGGGGAGAGAAAGCUGACAAUGGGAUCCAUAAAACCAUAACAUAGACUAAAUGUUAUCAAAAUAGCUCGUGGAAAAUAGCUGCAAAGAGAGAUUUCUCCUAAGUCUCUGGGGGGUAAUAUUUACAUGGUUAGAUUGCAGGGAGACAAUGUAGGACAAUAAAAUUCAUUAUCGUAAAACUGCUCCUGAAAGCAGUCUUUUUCACAGAGGAAAUGUGCAGUAACAGUAGGUAAGAGUGAAAGACCAUUUUCUUUCCAUCC